UACAGAGGGGGCAAGCGUUGUUCGGAAUUACUGGGCGUAAAGGGCGCGUAGGCGGCCUGUUAAGUCGAACGUGAAAUCCCCGGGCUCAACCCGGGAACUGCGUCCGAUACUGGCAGGCUUGAAUCCGGGAGAGGGAUGCGGAAUUCCAGGUGUAGCGGUGAAAUGCGUAGAUAUCAGGAGGAACACCGGUGGCGAAGGCGCACAUCUGGCCCGAUACUGACGCUGAGGCGCGAAAGCGUGGGGAGCGAACAGG
This 253-nucleotide ribosomal RNA is filed under the name uncultured bacterium. Its description in RNAcentral is "partial 16S ribosomal RNA". It matches the Rfam family "Bacterial small subunit ribosomal RNA", at positions 524 to 776 of the family's 1533-position model. The record is from RNAcentral.